Molecule: ribosomal RNA, 253 nt
Filed under: uncultured bacterium
Lineage: Bacteria
Description: partial 16S ribosomal RNA
Rfam family: Bacterial small subunit ribosomal RNA
Source: RNAcentral
UACGUAGGGUGCGAGCGUUGUCCGGAAUUAUUGGGCGUAAAGGGCUCGUAGGCGGUUUGUCGCGUCGGGAGUGAAAACCUUGGGCUUAACUCAGGGCUUGCUUUCGAUACGGGCAGACUAGAGGUAUGCAGGGGAGAACGGAAUUCUCGGUGUAGCAGUGAAAUGCGUAGAUAUCGAGAGGAACACCAGUGGCGAAGGCGAGUCCCUGGACAACACCUGACACUGAGGCACGAAAGCUAGGGGAGCAAACAGG